This 253-nucleotide ribosomal RNA is filed under the name uncultured bacterium. RNAcentral describes it as "partial 16S ribosomal RNA". It matches the Rfam family "Bacterial small subunit ribosomal RNA", at positions 524 to 776 of the family's 1533-position model. The record is from RNAcentral.
UACGAAGGGGGCUAGCGUUGCUCGGAAUUACUGGGCGUAAAGCGCACGUAGGCGGCUUUUUAAGUCGGAGGUGAAAUCCUGGAGCUCAACUCCAGAACUGCCUUCGAUACUGGAGAGCUUGAGUCCGGGAGAGGUGAGUGGAACUGCGAGUGUAGAGGUGAAAUUCGUAGAUAUUCGCAAGAACACCAGUGGCGAAGGCGGCUCACUGGCCCGAUACUGACGCUGAGGCACGAAAGCGUGGGGAGCAAACAGG